CGGGGUGCACCAGGCGCGAAAACUUUACAAUGCGGGAAACCGUGAUAAGGGGACACCGAGUGCCAGCAUCAUAUGCUGGCUGUCCAGGUGUGUAAAAUACACCUGUCAGCAAGGGCCGGGCAAGACCGGUGCCAGCCGCCGCGGUAACACCGGCGGCCCGAGUGGUGAUCGUGAUUAUUGGGUCUAAAGGGUCCGUAGCCGGUUUGGUCAGUCCUCCGGGAAAUCUGACGGCUCAACCGUUAGGCUUUCGGGGGAUACUGCCAGGCUUGGAACCGGGAGAGGUAAGAGGUACUACAGGGGUAGGAGUGAAAUCUUGUAAUCCCUGUGAGACCACCUGUGGCGAAGGCGUCUUACCAGAACGGGUUCGACGGUGAGGGACGAAAGCUGGGGGCACGAACCGGAUUAGAUACCCGGGUAGUCCCAGCCGUAAACGAUGCUCGCUAGGUGUCAGGCAUGGCGCGACCGUGUCUGGUGCCGCAGGGAAGCCGUGAAGCGAGCCACCUGGGAAGUACGGCCGCAAGGCUGAAACUUAAAGGAAUUGGCGGGGGAGCACAAGGGCGAUUCGCG
RNAcentral lists this ribosomal RNA (567 nucleotides) under uncultured archaeon. RNAcentral's name for it is "bacterial SSU rRNA". It matches the Rfam family "Archaeal small subunit ribosomal RNA", at positions 326 to 897 of the family's 1478-position model. The record is from RNAcentral.